GAUGAACGCUGGCGGCGUGCUUAACACAUGUAAGUCGAGCGAAGCACUUAAGUUUGAUUCUUCGGAUGAAGACUUUUGUGACUGAGCGGCGGACGGGUGAGUAACGCGUGGGUAACCUGCCUUUCAGAGGGGGAUAACAGCCGGAAACGGCUGCUAAUACCGCAUAAUGCAUCGGAUUCGCAUGUUUCUGAUGCCAAAGAUUUUAUCGCUGAAAGAUGAGCUCGCGUCUGAUUAGCUGGUUGGCGGGGUAACGGCCCACCAAGGCGACGAUCAGUAGCCGGACUGAGAGGUUGAACGGCCACAUUGGGACUGAGACACGGCCCAG
This 325-nucleotide ribosomal RNA is filed under the name uncultured bacterium. RNAcentral describes it as "bacterial SSU rRNA". It matches the Rfam family "Bacterial small subunit ribosomal RNA", at positions 28 to 334 of the family's 1533-position model. The record is from RNAcentral.